RNAcentral lists this ribosomal RNA (256 nucleotides) under uncultured bacterium. Its description in RNAcentral is "partial 16S ribosomal RNA". It matches the Rfam family "Bacterial small subunit ribosomal RNA", at positions 526 to 779 of the family's 1533-position model. The record is from RNAcentral.
CGUAGGGACCAAGCGUUGUUCGGAUUUACUGGGGCGUAAAGGGCGCGUAGGCGGCGCGGUAAGUCACUUGUGAAAUCUCUGAGCUUAACUCAGAACGGCCAAGUGAUACUGCAGUGCUAGAGUGUGGAAGGGGCAAUCGGAAUUCUUGGUGUAGCGGUGAAAUGCGUAGAUAUCAAGAGGAACACCUGAGGUGAAGACGGUUGCUGGGCCAACACUGACGCUGAGGCGCGAAAAGCCAGGGGAGCAAAACGGGAUU